CUGGCAACAAAGAUUGGGGUUAAUACAGCAACCUUUGCCAAUUCACUGGGAUGGAGAGAUGACACUGGCACCCAGAAUAUUCUCCCUUGUCUUGGGGAAAUUGAACAGAGAGUCAGUGAACUGCUGGCUGUGUGGUCAUAUCAGAAGUAUCAGGAUGCUGAGGGGACUGAUGAAAGAACAAAAUCUGUUCUCACAUUCUUAGGAAUUAUAGCACCUCCAAUUCCUCCAGAUUAUGAACUUCAGAUUCCAUCUACAAGGUUGCUUCUUGAUAGUGAUGAAGAGAUUAAUGAAGAAGAGCUGAAACCACUUUCAAAGGAAGAACUGCAACAAAAG
Lepisosteus oculatus (spotted gar) is the source of this 333-nucleotide long non-coding RNA. RefSeq lists it as uncharacterized. The record is from RefSeq and is a predicted model, not a curated record. Lineage: Eukaryota; Metazoa; Chordata; Actinopteri; Semionotiformes; Lepisosteidae.